AUGAGGCUAUUUGAACACUUGCAUAAAGGGACGCUUGAUGUCCAACGCCUCAACUAUGGAGUGAUCACUCUUUUGCCUAAAACUGCUGGUGCUGAUAAAAUCCAGCAAUUUAGGCCUAUAUGUUUCCUGAUAUGCCCGUACAAAUUGAUUACCAAAGUCUUGGAUCGUCGUGUUGAGAGCUACGCUAACAAGUUAAUUAGUUCGACCCAAAAUGCUUUUGUUAAAGGGAGAAGCAUUAUGGAUGGCGUGCUCUCCCUGCAUGAGAUUUUGAACUAUACUCAUGUGAAAAAAGGGUGGGGGUCGUCCUAA
Molecule: ribosomal RNA, 309 nt
Filed under: Triticum aestivum (bread wheat)
Lineage: Eukaryota; Viridiplantae; Streptophyta; Magnoliopsida; Poales; Poaceae
Description: partial small subunit ribosomal RNA
Source: RNAcentral